AGCUCUUGAAACUGGGAGACUUGAGUGCAGGAGAGGAGAGUGGAAUUCCUAGUGUAGCGGUGAAAUGCGUAGAUAUUAGGAGGAACACCAGUUGCGAAGGCGGCUCUCUGGACUGUAACUGACGCUGGGGCACGAAAGCGUGGGGAGCAAACAGGAUUAGAUACCCUGGUAGUCCACGCUGUAAACGAUGAGUACUAGGUGUCGGGGGUUACCCCCUUCGGUGCCGCAGCUAACGCAUUAAGUACUCCGCCUGGGAAGUACGCUCGCAAGAG
This 272-nucleotide ribosomal RNA is filed under the name Clostridioides difficile. Its description in RNAcentral is "partial 16S ribosomal RNA". It matches the Rfam family "Bacterial small subunit ribosomal RNA", at positions 622 to 894 of the family's 1533-position model. The record is from RNAcentral. Lineage: Bacteria; Bacillati; Bacillota; Clostridia; Peptostreptococcales; Peptostreptococcaceae.